AUACUUUUUCCGUCACCAACGGCUGGAGAGUAUAACAAUUUUUGCAUACACAAGUAUACUAAAACCGUUAAUAUACUCAUUUAAUUUAGUAUAUGUAUACUUUUAAUUAUAAAUAAUACACAUAUUCACUUUUUACAACUUUAUAAGGGUAUAAGAGAUUCAUAAUAUCUCUUUUCGGUAAAAUCACUUACCUAUAUCAUCACAUUCGAUCGACAAGAUGCUGUCUCCCAAGUUUUUGAUGAUAUCCAUCCGUCACCAACGGCUGGAGAGUAUAACAAGUUUUGCAUACACAAGUAUACUAAAACCGUUAAUAUACUCAUUUAAUUUAGUAUAUGUAUACUUUUAAUUAUAAAUAAUACACAUAUUCACUUUUUACAACUUUAUAAGGGUAUAAGAGAUUCAUAAUAUCUCUUUUCGGUAAAAUCACUUACCUAUAUCAUGACAUUCGAUCGACAAGAUGCUGUCUCCCAAGUUUUUGAUGAUAUCCAUCCGUCACCAACGGCUGGAGAGUAUAACAAGUUUUGCAUACACAAGUAUACUAAAACCGUUAAUAUACUCAUUUAAUUUAGUAUAUGUAUACUUUUACUUAUAAAUAAUAUACAUAUAUCCCCUUUUUUAUUAGUAUAUUAUAUAUACUUAUUACCUUUUACUUCACAAGUAUAUAAGAGCAUUAUAUAUUCUCUUAUCGGGCAUACAACCCACCAUUUACCUUAACUUUUAUGGGCGAAACUCCUGUCGCUCAAGUUUUUGAUGAUAUCCAUCCGUCACCAACGGCUGGAGCGUAACAAGCUUUAUAUAUAAAGCAUAUUACUAAUAUAACCAAU
This 824-nucleotide ribosomal RNA is filed under the name Drosophila melanogaster (fruit fly). RNAcentral describes it as "eukaryotic LSU rRNA". The record is from RNAcentral. Lineage: Eukaryota; Metazoa; Arthropoda; Insecta; Diptera; Drosophilidae.